CCGCAUUUCGCCCGACUUGCAUCUUUGUGGUCUUGGCUAAUACUGGUAACAGCUCAAAUUGAGGUUCAAAGAGACAUGGAGGAUGAAGGCAGUGGGAAAAGCAGAGGGAAUGACAUUCAGACUGAAACACAGGGAUCCAAAGCUCCUGACUCAACUUAUUUCCAACAAACCUGCCAGCCAGACAUUCACGCUGUGCUAAGAGGCAUGACAGCUAUGUUGACUGAGCAGAUUACAUUUUUGAAGAGAGAGAUUAAAGUUUAAGCAGCUGCCUUUGAGUCCUUGACAGCCAGGUCAAAUACCACUGAGAGUGAAGUAGAGAUUCUGCACAGAGAGAAUGAAGCACAGGCAAAGAAGCUAAGAGAGUUGGAAGAACGGAAGACUGUGGUGAAUAUGCUGAAGACCGGCCAUGGAGUCAGGAAGGUGGCUUUCUCUGCUUCACUUUUGGGAUCAGGAGCAGCUGGUACCACAGGACCACACAAUGCUGAAGUUAUCCUGGUCUACAGACAAGUCUUCUCGAACAUUGGCAAUGCCUAUAAUUCAAACACAGGUAUGGUACACUGGAAAAAGGCUGUUAGGAGAAUAACCAGUGAUGUCCAUCUACUUGCUGAUGUCAGAAAUUUUUUUAGGAAGAGCUUAAGGCUCAUGGAGCCGGAGCAUAAUAGCACGAUUUAUAAUGAAAUCCUGUUGAUGAUCCAUUCAACAGUUUAACAAUUAAUGUUGACGAUUUUCUAUCAAUACUUUGUGUGCUACAAAAAUACACAGUACAUGGCCUAUGUGUUUAAUGCCAUUUUUGUGGGGUGUUGGGUACUAGUUUCUUUACAGUACCAGUGAAGGGUGUUUACCAGUUCCAGUUCUACCUGGGGGCACAUGGGCACAGCUCAUAUCAUUAAUCUGCUGCCCUGGUUAAAAAUGGACAGCAAGUAUUAAUUGCUUAUACUCACCAUACUUCACCUUAUGGGAAUGCUUCUAAUGGGGUCUCAGUACUGCUGGAGGUGGGAGAUGUGGUCUACCUACGUCUCAGGGUGAAUUCAAGGGUAUUUGACAAUAUAAACCACCACACCACUUUCAGUGGACAUCUGCUGUUCACCAUGUAAAAACAAAAGGAUUAUAGAAGUGAAUUGAAAUGCUUGGAUCUGUUGGUGUAGCAUGAGAAUAUAAUAUAUACAGUGGCUGUCAAAAGAAUUCAUCCACUUCCACAUAUUUUUUGAAACAGUGUUCUUAUUAUGAAUAUGUGCUCAUACACAAUAAUUUCA
Esox lucius (northern pike) is the source of this 1253-nucleotide long non-coding RNA. RefSeq lists it as uncharacterized. Lineage: Eukaryota; Metazoa; Chordata; Actinopteri; Esociformes; Esocidae. The transcript is spliced from 5 exons. The record is from RefSeq and is a predicted model, not a curated record.